CCUACGGGAGGCAGCAGUGGGGAAUAUUGCGCAAUGGGCGAAAGCCUGACGCAGCGACGCCGCGUGAGGGAUGAAGGUCUUCGGAUCGUAAAACUCUGUCAGCAGGGAAGAACGGUCACUGUGCUAAUCAGCAGUGAAUUGACGGUACCUGCAAAGAAAGCACCGGCUAACUCCGUGCCAGCAGCCGCGGUAAUACGGAGGGUGCGAGCGUUAAUCGGAAUGACUGGGCGUAAAGCGAGCGUAGGCGGUAUGUUAAGUCAAGGGUGAAAGCCCCGGGCUCAACGUGGGAACUGCCUUUGAAACUGGCAAACUGGAGGUGGUGAGAGGAGAGUGGAAUUCCAGGUGUAGGAGUGAAAUCCGUAGAUAUCUGGAGGAACAUCAGUGGCGAAGGCGACUAUCUGGCACAUAACUGACGCUGAGGAGCGAAAGCGUGGGUAGCAAACAGGAUUAGAUACCCUUGUAGUC
RNAcentral lists this ribosomal RNA (465 nucleotides) under uncultured bacterium. RNAcentral describes it as "partial 16S ribosomal RNA". It matches the Rfam family "Bacterial small subunit ribosomal RNA", at positions 338 to 795 of the family's 1533-position model. The record is from RNAcentral.